UUCCAGAGGCUUCCCAAAGUGGCAGUAUGGUGGCAAGAGAGCAGGAAUCCACUCAGGCUCCACUGCAGACACACCUUUCAUGUACAGUUUUGUAGUCUCAACAAUUUCUUGAUACACCACAAACUCCGGGAGCUGCUUGAAGAGGACUGAGCUUGGGUGGAUGAACACCGGGUCAUCCAGAAGAGCAGUCUUGUAGGCAUUCUUCCACUUAUCAUCCAG
This 219-nucleotide long non-coding RNA is filed under the name Gallus gallus (chicken). Lineage: Eukaryota; Metazoa; Chordata; Aves; Galliformes; Phasianidae. The record is from RNAcentral.